GGCGACGUGGCCGAGUGGUUAGGCAGAGGCCUGCAAAGCCUUGCACAGGGGUUCGAUUCCCCUCGUCGCCUCAA
Molecule: transfer RNA, 74 nt
Filed under: Actinobacteria bacterium IMCC26207
Lineage: Bacteria; Bacillati; Actinomycetota; Actinomycetes
Description: tRNA-Cys
Rfam family: tRNA
About the family: Transfer RNA (tRNA) molecules are approximately 80 nucleotides in length. Their secondary structure includes four short double-helical elements and three loops (D, anti-codon, and T loops).
Source: RNAcentral